UGUGCUUGACCAUUAUGGAGAGGUUCGUGGAGCUGUACAAAAUCAAGAGCGGCAUAGGAGGGCUAACUAGGCUCAUAAAAUGCUUCGGAGAUGAUAGCCCUACACAAAGGAAGAGGACAGAGGACCUCAUUUUCUAAAGGAAGAUCCCUCACACACUUUCAAGACUGUGAAGCCGCCCUGGGGCGCACUGACAGAGGCGAGGCUGCCGGACACUGGCACCACCGGGCCCUCUGGCCACCACCAGUAGGCAACAGCCGACAGGUAUUGAAGACACGUUUUCUAAGAGGAUGAAAGUUGGCAUUGCGAUGGUGAAAGAAGAAGACAUCAUCGAUGUGUUGGUUGUCCUUGAGGCGGCAGUAAUCCUGUCUAAUCUGAGGGAUGUCUCAAGUGCCAUUUCCAUGCUGAUGGGCCUUCU
Long non-coding RNA from Oreochromis aureus, 415 nucleotides. The record is from Ensembl. Lineage: Eukaryota; Metazoa; Chordata; Actinopteri; Cichliformes; Cichlidae.